UACGAAGGGGGCUAGCGUUGCUCGGAAUCACUGGGCGUAAAGCGCACGUAGGCGGCUUCUUAAGUCAGGGGUGAAAUCCUGGAGCUCAACUCCAGAACUGCCUUUGAUACUGAGGAGCUUGAGUCCGGGAGAGGUGAGUGGAACUGCGAGUGUAGAGGUGAAAUUCGUAGAUAUUCGCAAGAACACCAGUGGCGAAGGCGGCUCACUGGCCCGAUACUGACGCUGAGGCACGAAAGCGUGGGGAGCAAACAGGG
This 254-nucleotide ribosomal RNA is filed under the name uncultured bacterium. Its description in RNAcentral is "partial 16S ribosomal RNA". It matches the Rfam family "Bacterial small subunit ribosomal RNA", at positions 524 to 777 of the family's 1533-position model. The record is from RNAcentral.